CAUGCAAGUCGAACGCCCCGCAAGGGGAGUGGCAGACGGGUGAGUAACGCGUGGGAAUCUACCCAGUUCUACGGAACAACACAGGGAAACUUGUGCUAAUACCGUAUACGCCCCAAGGGGGAAAGAUUUAUCGGAAUUGGAUGAGCCCGCGUUGGAUUAGCUAGUUGGUGGGGUAAUGGCCUACCAAGGCGACGAUCCAUAGCUGGUCUGAGAGGAUGAUCAGCCACACUGGGACUGAGACACGGCCCAGACUCCUACGGGAGGCAGCAGUGGGGAAUAUUGGACAAUGGGCGAAAGCCUGAUCCAGCCAUGCCGCGUGAGUGAUGAAGGCCUUAGGGUUGUAAAGCUCUUUCAGUGGGGACGAUAAUGACGGUACCCACAGAAGAAGCCCCGGCUAACUUCGUGCCAGCAGCCGCGGUAAUACGAAGGGGGCUAGCGUUGUUCGGAUUUACUGGGCGUAAAGCGCACGUAGGCGGAUCGUUAAGUGAGGGGUGAAAUCCCAGGGCUCAACCCUGGAACUGCCUUUCAUACUGGCGAUCUUGAGUCCGGGAGAGGUGAGUGGAACUCCUAGUGUAGAGGUGGAAUUCGUAGAUAUUAGGAAGAACACCAGUGGCGAAAGGCGGCUCACUGGGUCCGGUACUGACGCUG
RNAcentral lists this ribosomal RNA (648 nucleotides) under uncultured bacterium. Its description in RNAcentral is "bacterial SSU rRNA". It matches the Rfam family "Bacterial small subunit ribosomal RNA", at positions 54 to 748 of the family's 1533-position model. The record is from RNAcentral.